This 972-nucleotide ribosomal RNA is filed under the name Lactobacillus sp. Its description in RNAcentral is "bacterial SSU rRNA". It matches the Rfam family "Bacterial small subunit ribosomal RNA", at positions 501 to 1474 of the family's 1533-position model. The record is from RNAcentral. Lineage: Bacteria; Bacillati; Bacillota; Bacilli; Lactobacillales; Lactobacillaceae.
CUACGUGCCAGCAGCCGCGGUAAUACGUAGGUGGCAAGCGUUGUCCGGAUUUAUUGGGCGUAAAGCGAGCGCAGGCGGUUUUUUAAGUCUGAUGUGAAAGCGUUCGGCUCAACCGAAGAAGUGCAUCGGAAACUGGGAAACUUGAGUGCAGAAGAGGACAGUGGAACUCCAUGUGUAGCGGUGAAAUGCGUAGAUAUAUGGAAGAACACCAGUGGCGAAGGCGGCUGUCUGGUCUGUAACUGACGCUGAGGCUCGAAAGUAUGGGUAGCAAACAGGAUUAGAUACCCUGGUAGUCCAUACCGUAAACGAUGAAUGCUAAGUGUUGGAGGGUUUCCGCCCUUCAGUGCUGCAGCUAACGCAUUAAGCAUUCCGCCUGGGGAGUACGGCCGCAAGGCUGAAACUCAAAGGAAUUGACGGGGGCCCGCACAAGCGGUGGAGCAUGUGGUUUAAUUCGAAGCUACGCGAAGAACCUUACCAGGUCUUGACAUACUAUGCAAAUCUAAGAGAUUAGACGUUCCCUUCGGGGACAUGGAUACAGGUGGUGCAUGGUUGUCGUCAGCUCGUGUCGUGAGAUGUUGGGUUAAGUCCCGCAACGAGCGCAACCCUUAUUAUCAGUUGCCAGCAUUAAGUUGGGCACUCUGGUGAGACUGCCGGUGACAAACCGGAGGAAGGUGGGGAUGACGUCAAAUCAUCAUGCCCCUUAUGACCUGGGCUACACACGUGCUACAAUGGAUGGUACAACGAGUUGCGAACUCGCGAGAGUAAGCUAAUCUCUUAAAGCCAUUCUCAGUUCGGAUUGUAGGCUGCAACUCGCCUACAUGAAGUCGGAAUCGCUAGUAAUCGCGGAUCAGCAUGCCGCGGUGAAUACGUUCCCGGGCCUUGUACACACCGCCCGUCACACCAUGAGAGUUUGUAACACCCAAAGUCGGUGGGGUAACCUUUUAGGAACCAGCCGCCUAAGGUGACAGAUGG